AGGGAAUCUUCCACAAUGGACGCAAGUCUGAUGGAGCAACGCCGCGUGAGUGAAGAAGGCUUUCGGGUCGUAAAACUCUGUUGUUGGAGAAGAAUGGUCGGCAGAGUAACUGUUGUCGGCGUGACGGUAUCCAACCAGAAAGCCACGGCUAACUACGUGCCAGCAGCCGCGGUAAUACGUAGGUGGCAAGCGUUAUCCGGAUUUAUUGGGCGUAAAGCGAGCGCAGGCGGUUUUUUAAGUCUGAUGUGAAAGCCCUCGGCUUAACCGAGGAAGCGCAUCGGAAACUGGGAAACUUGAGUGCAGAAGAGGACAGUGGAACUCCAUGUGUAGCGGUGAAAUGCGUAGAUAUAUGGAAGAACACCAGUGGCGAAGGCGGCUGUCUGGUCUGUAACUGACGCUGAGGCUCGAAAGCAUGGGUAGCGAACAGGA
Molecule: ribosomal RNA, 429 nt
Filed under: uncultured bacterium
Lineage: Bacteria
Description: bacterial SSU rRNA
Rfam family: Bacterial small subunit ribosomal RNA
Source: RNAcentral